RNAcentral lists this ribosomal RNA (434 nucleotides) under uncultured bacterium. Its description in RNAcentral is "partial 16S ribosomal RNA". It matches the Rfam family "Bacterial small subunit ribosomal RNA", at positions 29 to 507 of the family's 1533-position model. The record is from RNAcentral.
AGCGAACGCUGGCGGCAGGCCUAACACAUGCAAGUCGAACGAACCUUUCGGGGUUAGUGGCGGACGGGUGAGUAACACGUGGGAACGUGCCUUUAGGUUCGGAAUAACUCAGGGAAACUUGUGCUAAUACCGAAUGUGCCCUUCGGGGGAAAGAUUAAUCGCCUUUAGAGCGGCCCGCGUCUGAUUAGCUAGUUGGUUGAGGUAAUGGCUCACCAAGGCGACGAUCAGUAGCUGGUCUGAGAGGAUGAUCAGCCACAUUGGGACUGAGACACGGCCCAGACUCUUACGGGAGGCAGCAGUGGGGAAUCUUGCGCAAUGGGCGAAAGCCUGACGCAGCCAUGCCGCGUGAAUGAUGAAGGUCUUAGGAUUGUAAAAUUCUUUCACCGGGGACGAUAAUGACGGUACCCGGAGAAGAAGCCCCGGCUAACUUCGUG